Scylla paramamosain (green mud crab) is the source of this 12420-nucleotide RNA transcript. RefSeq lists it as uncharacterized. The record is from RefSeq and is a predicted model, not a curated record. The transcript has 8 exons. NCBI's taxonomy places the organism in Eukaryota, Metazoa, Arthropoda, Malacostraca, Decapoda, Portunidae.
ACACCUCACCACGUUUGAAUCUUUCAGUGUUUGUGCCAGUAGAGGGAAAUUAAUCGCGCUUUCAGACUAUUUCCCCAAAACAGACACUUAUCUUAGUAUGCGCAGUAUUUUUUCUGAUUGUGUGCAGUAUGCUGGGAUUCAAGACGAUAAGAGUCGUCCUAGAGAGCAGUAAUCACCCUUGGCAGUUAGGCUGAGGAACUGGACCCAAUGACGCCAGUGACAGCAGCGCCUUGGCCUCGUGUUGCCGAGUCAUGAGCUGAGGAACUGGACCCAAUGACGCCAGUGACAGCAGCGCCUUGGCCUCGUGUUGCCGAGUCAUGAGUUCCUGUCUUCAUUAUGCUGAUAUCCACAUUGGCUUAAAGCACUCGAAUGAUUCAGGCUGUGAGGGGCCAGCAAGUCAGGGAGCAGUUGGAUGUUGGACAUGAAGUUUCCUGCAAAUGAAUGCACCUCUUACAUUAGACUCUAAAGUACAGUUCAGUCACUGCCUGUGUGUAGCAGGCCACAGUGGCUGAGAGGUGCCUGGUGGUGGUGGCCACUUUUCCGAAGUCCCUCAGGGAUGAUAAUGAUUACUUUUCUCUGAAUUCAGUGCAUUACUUCCAGCUGAUGUUUGUUGUAGUUUGUGAUGGAAUACUGAAUAUUUGUGUUGAAAUAUCUGAUGUGUGGAAUUUAGAUUGUCAUCAGUAAAUGUGAACAAAAUGGUAUGCUUGUUUGAAGCAUUUCUGCCACAUCCUUUGCUUUACAGGAAGCUCUUGAGAGGCACUCAUCAGUGAUGACUUACACUAAUUUGCAGUAUACUGUAUUUUUUGAUAAAGGGGAAUAAGUUUUAUUCAAGAGUCCAUGUAUAUCUAGUCAAUACUUACCCAAGUGAGGUACAUGCUGAUGUUUACAACAUUGAUGCUAUAAUGGUAGUAUUUAUUGGGUUCAAAAAUAUAUAGAGCAUAUUGAUGCCAUAACAUAUGUUGCUGAAUAUGCAUAUACAUUUUAUAUAUUGAAUGAUUACAGAAGAAAUGUUUUUAUUUUCAAGUAAUAAGUACAGUACCAGAAGUGUCCUGGGCAGCAGAUCAGCAGCACAGGAAUACCAAAUUUAAAGAAUCCAUUAUGGGCACAUCACAAUCUUGCUGACUUGAAAUUCUUUCAAAAAUGCUUUCGUGGAUCCAAUCUUCUGAGAAAUGAGAUUAAUCUUAAAUCUUCAUUCUCAAAAACGAACAUUUUAUUAGGCAGUCUAGAAUGUUACCAAGUUUGGACUCGGCCUAAAGUGUCACACGUCAAACAUAAUUGUUGAAGUAACGUGACUAAAGGGAACCAUGGGAAUUUAAGCAAUUGGAAAGAUUCAAGGCUAAUUUCCAGCAACCUAACAAACUGAUGACAAAACUGCUUUCCCCAAUACUGUCUUCCCUUAUCCUUGCUGAACAGCACUCACAGGUUGAUGUAAUGUUCAAGUUAUGGUUUCCUGACAACACUACAGCUGUUGGCAUUAGCGGCUGUAAAUGAAAUGUUAAUGACUAGUUUAGGAUACAUACAAUCCUAGAUAUAUAUAUUGGAUCUUUAUUUCAUUACAAAGUAUCACUUUUACAAGGGCAAGAAUGCUACACACUCGCAAUCGACCACCAAGGGUGUAUCAGCAACCCUCUUGAACCAUUGCACAACCUAGAUUCUCCCUACUUGUGAUACUUUACAACUUUUGAUGUACUGAUGUAGCUAUUUAUCGCAGAGUAAAUAUAGUGAAAUAUAAUUUUGUUAAAUGACAAGUAUUUUGUGCAUUUUAACAAUGUAUAAAUUUAUGCUAUUAGCAACAAUUUCAACAAAGGUCCAAUUAUCCCUGUUCAAUUCAGUAUGUUUGUUAAGUAGCCUAAUUAUAUUUUUUUUUGCAGUAUCUUGCUUUAAAGUACAUAUAAUUCAUAGCUAUGUAUAAAUAAAAUUCGAUAAACAUGUAUAUAAAAAAUUAACUAUAAAGUUAUUGAGGGCAUGGCCAGUAUGAUAACAUGAAUCAACUCAAUGCCAUAUAAUGUUACCAAUUUUUUUUAAUGCAUACUGAAUUUCAAUAUACACGCAAAAUAUUUUGUGCUAUUAAAUUUGUCUUGUGUUGAAAAAUGUUGGGCACAAUGCCACAGUUCAACUGGAGUGUGUACCACAUGGCCCUGUCCUAGCUGAUCUGCUGUAUGAAUCACUUGAUGGAAAACUUGCCCAGGCCUUUUGCACCAGUAAUUCCUGGCUAUUUUGGCAAUAGUGGAGCACAGCUAGUGGUGGAUCACAAGCGUGUCCGGUACAAUUGACUUACGAGGUCUAUUCAUGUGAAUACCUCACAAGAUUGUGGAUAAUCAAUGAUACUGGCUAUCCCGUGGCCCCUGUGGCCAGAUCAAGCCUCUACUCUUAACUAUGGCAAAUCAGAUAUAAAUUAUGCUUCUAUCAAACUACUUCAAAUGGUUAACUACUUUUUACCAUGCUAUUAAAUUCUCUUGGAAGGAGAAGAAUCUGGGGUCUAGAAAAUUACAAUAUAAAAGCUUACAGAGCUUGCCAUGUUGAUGAACAACCAUAUAGCUUAACAGGACCCGGCGACCCCUGGAAGGGUGAGUCCCACGACUUGUGGUGACACGGAGGAGGCCAGGGGCAGGCGCUGUGUCAGACACGAGCGGUGCGCCAGGUCAAGCCUCACCCUCGCCCCCGCCCGCCCCUCGUCCACACAUGCACCAGACGGGAGCCAAAUCUCACUCCUGAUUCCUACAUUGCAACCUCCAGCCCUGGAUCCACCAAAAAGUGGGCAGUGGGGUGUGGAUGGGUGCGGCAGUGCACAAGGGACAGAGGGUGACGGCAGGCGGGGGCAAUGUGGUCGGCAGAAAGGGGCCUGCCAGCUCCUGGCACGGGGUGGGGUCAGUGAAGGCAAGGCGCAAGACGAGAGACCGUGCAGGCAGCCAGUUCCGCCAGGACCGGGUCAGUGACCGGGCAAGGCAAGAGGGGGCGCAACACUGAUAUGCUAGGGCCCUGCUAUCCAUAGAUUACAUGAGUUACGAAAGACAGUCAUCUUCAAAGGUCGCCAGCCGUCUUCACUGGAGACACUUUAUGCCAUUCUUCUGCGAACACAUGUACUAAAGUACACUCAAAGAUGUGAACUCACUUCAAACACGUCGGUGAACUGGAUGCUUCUCUCAUGAGUUACAGUGUUGUCUCAUUAGCAAAUCUACUGUACUGCUGAAAUAUUCAGCUCGUUAUAGCAGGUUUGGGCCUCCUGGUCUCCUCCAUUAAUACGAAAAUGAAUACUUUUAAUAUGCGGGCAUUUACCAAUAUCCUUAAAAUUUAUAGGGGCUAAGUAUUAGCAAUAUAUCAGAGAGUGUAUCUUAUGGUCGUCCAUAGGCGUUAAAAAUGCACUUCAAAAAUGGGUUGAAGGUUUUAAAUGAAUACAACACAUCACUGAACAAUACCAUCUUACAAGAAUUUACCAAAAGACACUAAAAUUGGUCCCAAAGCAACUAGAUUUGAUAUUGCCUUGAUAACUAACCAUUAUAGAUUACACUCUCCUUUAGGCAAUUGUAUUAAUAAAUUAUAAGCAAUAAUAAAUAAAUAGUAAUAAAUUAUAUGCUACGCACUUUCUAAAUGUGAUGUACUAAAACUAUUCUUUUAAGUAUUUUUCUCUUAUUUCUUUGGUGUGGCUAUCUCCUUACGAUCCUUAAUAAUAUCCCUGUUGUACUCAGUUGCUGCCAUCUUGUUUACUCAAUAAAUGCUUUAGUCUCUGAAGAAAGCUGAAAACUUGCAACACACAAAGCCUAAUGGUCAAUCAAAACAAGAUGCCAGCAUGAGCAAGGCAAUAGGGCCUAUGUAAUAUUACAAUUGUACAGGCCUAUUGCACCAGCCUGCUCUGGACAAGAGACUAGUCUUAAAAGUACUAAAUGUGUAAGAAUAUUUGGGCAUGAGUAAGAUAAUAUUUUUUUUUUUUUGUCUUUUCAGGAUAUAUAAAAGUUCAAAUAGUAUUUGAUUUAAUGAAAAUUUUUAGUUUAAUAUAAUAAUAUUUUCUUCAUACCUAUGCCUAUGUCUUAUUUGUAAAUAUUGAUAAAAACUACUAGGGGAGGAACCAGCUGAGUCAGAGACAAUAUGCACUGGUCUCCUCAACAGAGCAGGUCUGACACAAUACAUCGCCUGACGGUCGUGCGUAUGUACAUACUGGACUAGAUAUGCUAUGUCAGAGAAACAGCUUCAUUCUUUCAGAAAUUAGUAAUUCUUAUUCCUAAACCGCAAGGGCAUAUAACAUGUAAAUAUCUGAAACAAAUAAAAUAGACCAGGUAAUGGUGAAAUCAGCUUGAACUCUCUUGGCACAAUUCUGUCAAUGGUUCAAAGUUAUGUGGAUGACACACAGCAUAUUAUUUAGAAUAAGAAUGUGGGGGAUUAAAUACCCAAAAAGGUGGAUAAAGCAAUAAUAAUAAUGACUAGAUGGAAUGUCUGAGAUCAUAGAUGAAAGAUCACUGCAAAAACUGUAAUCUUAAAAAAAUAACAAGUACACCUUGACUAGAAAAUAAUGCCACUUUGAUCUGACAAACAUACAGAUGUCUAAAAAUCUAAGCCACAAAGAAAUGCACAAAUCUUAUUAAACCAUUGGAUACAAAUGAUUUAAAAAUAUAUCAUGAUAUAAAAUUGACUGGAGAUAAGCGUUGGUAUCCUUAGUCUAGUGAAUAUGCUAUUCACUGUACAUAUGAUCAAAUGCAGGGUCAAGAGUCCUACCGAGUUACCUUCAGCAUAUAUACAGUGUGUCUUUAUGAGACUUCCUCUAUACUUGAAAGCUAUCUAGCGCUUUAAUCUAUGUAUCUAUAGGCAUCUACAGGUAUAGAGAAGCUAAUUCUCUAGUUUGACACUAGACUAAGGGCCUCUGAACCCUUUGAGGCCAUCACUUUGGUUGUCCAACUGUGGAGCUGGGAAGAGACCUCAUCACCCUGGUCUGGUGGGGUGGUUGGCGCCCCACCCGGAUACACACCACACAGGUUGGCGUGAGGAGCACCAGUGCACAUGGCAUCACCACUGUGGCAGCCCAGUUUCAAGCAAAGUACUUGUGGACAAAGAGCCCACAGACUACCGGGUAAAAAUGGGCAAUAACUGAGCCAUGAGACGACAGCCAAGGGGGUGGCAGCUGCGUGGGCCCGGGCACAGCACAGGGCGUGAGGCAACAGACACGAGACACGCAACACUUAGUACCCUGAAGGAGCAACCCGUCAGCGGGGCGGGUUAGGACACAUCCGGUGCUGGGAGAUCCACGUCACCCGGCCAACUCGCACAAAAUGGCGUAGAGCUGAUAGAGCACGUCUUAAGUAUAUUACUAUUCUUAACAAUAUGAUAUAGCUGAAAUAUUAUGAUACGUAAUAUAACUUUAACAGAAGGCUUAUUAAUAUUAAAAAUAUUGUUUCCAUACUCUCAGUAAUAACAUGGCUAUCAACAUGUGGGAGGGGAGGGACCUUCAGUCCCAGACCCUUUCUUUUUUUUUUUUUUGGUACUGUGCUUUAGCUCAGUACAACAUAUAUAUACAGUUUGUGUACACAGCAGCACAGGCCUCAACUGUGGACUUCCAGACACUGUAACUUCCAUAAGAAAAAAAAUAAAGGAAAAAACAAAAUAGAAGAAAAUUGUGAGCAAUCUCUUGUGUAGUGACCAUCUCAUUCCCGCCACACUGAGGCCUCCCGCAGCCUGUGUAUCAACUCAAGCUCUCUGGACUCGUAUAUGUAGCACUUGUAGUAUAGAAAUAUGAUAAUAGUGUUCAUCUUGCAGAGAAUUUCUUGUUUUCAAGUACUUUCUCCUCUAUACUUACAACCUAUGCUUUGGAUUCCUAAUACUUGAUAUAAAUGUCACACUCAAGCUAUGAUAAAUCUGCAGCAAUCUUGAAGAGCUGCUCCAUCACGGACCCCUGCGGAGGAAGAGGCUUGGUCAGACAGCGACACACACCACAUGGCAGGAGACACUCAGCACCAACACUUGAAACACUGCUAUGUCAGCUGUGUCACACACCUGGUCUCCCCUACUGAGUGCGGCCGUUAGUAGGGUCUAUUGGCAUCCUUGGGUCGCUUGAGCUGAACCUUUAGGCGCUUCAUGCCAAUCUGGAAGCCAUUCAUUGCUUGGAUUGCUGCUUGAGCUGAGGCAGGGUUGUCAAAGCUCACGAACCCUGAAAAUGAUGAUGAGGUUACACAUGUGGUUUGUAAAAUGGCAUUGUGCUACAGGAUAGUGAUAGUCAACUGGAGGAAUGGUUAAGGUAUCACCCACUAUGCACUCAAGUUAGAAAUGUUACACUUAAUAGCAACAUUUGAAAUAUGAAGAAUGUAAGUAAAUUUAUAUGAAGUGAACUUAAUUGCUACUUGCUAUUUUUCAUUUUUUUUUUUAUGAGAGAAAAAACUAAUGCAUUAUUUUAUUUCAUGCAGUAGCUUACUAGUCAGUUGUAUUAUCAAAAGAAAUUAAAUAAUAAAGUCUGAUGGUAUUAGAUGAUGGAAAAUGAAAGUGUACAGACACCCAUUUAUUUUCUGGUUAAAACUUCCUGGAUUAAGCUAUAAAUUAAAUUCUUUACUGGUCUUUAAAUUUCUUUAGUAGGAGACUGGUGAUUUACUCCUAUGAAAGGUUGCUUUGAGAGCAUUGGUGUUUACCCUGUAGGUUCCUCUCUCUGCUUACCACCAAUACAAGCCAAGUGAAGGUUUCAGUCUCUGCCUACCACCACUACAAGCUCAAUGAACACUUGAGGAAAACAUGAAUGUCUCACCGAAGCACUUGCUCUGGUUGGUGGCUCUAUCAAUGAACACCUUGGAGGAGAUCACAUUUCCAAAAGGAAGGAACAUCUGCAUCAACUCGGCAUCGCCAAACUCCUGCGGCAAGUGGUAGAUGAAGAGGUUGCAGCCUUCAGGUCCUGAGAUGGAGCAACCUGCCGAAGUGACACACUGGUCAGUGGGAGAACUGCACUGAGGUGAUAGCAAAGAUAAUAAAUAAAAGAUACAAACAGUACAUGACAUGGCAGAAUUCAUUUAGUGUCAGAGUCAUCAUUCAGCCAUGUGUGGUGGACUGCAGCACUGGGCCACAUCUGCCACCCAUGCUCCUCACCUUGCCUUGGCCCUUCUGUACAUCUGUAUCAGCUUUGAAGAAGAAUGCCUACAGAUCUUCUGGUAAUGUGAUGGAAACUACUUGGUGUGGUGCAGACAGCCUCUUGCAGCAUGACAACAAUGUCAUGUUAUGGUACAUUUAGUUUGCUGAAAGCUUGUAGGACACUUAAUUGUUUUAUAUAUUUCCAUCAUAAAAAGUCUUUUUUUUCCAAGUUUCAAAGUAUUCACCAUAUGCAAAACAAUAUCAGGAAGCUCAAAAUCCAUCAGUGCAAUUCAAUAUGAGCUGCUGUCCAUACAACAGUUAUGACUCUGUCACUGUGUGUGUCAAUCUUGCCUCUGUUGUUGCCUUGUGCUUAGAAAGACCUUUUCCCUUAAUUUUUCCUGCCAUGUUUGUUUUCAGUAACCAAUCAGUGACAAAAGCAACACAAAAUGUCUGUUUAUUUGACUAACAAUUAGAGUAUCAUAUACAACAGUGUUGUAUGUUGUUGUGUCUCCCUAGCCACUUGUCACAUUUGUUCUUUGUACCAUCUCUAUGACAAACUGGGUUUGUUGGUGCAAAGCUGAGGCUGAAUGGAGUGAAAUUGGCUGUGCUACUAUGUCUGCCUGUAGUUAAGACAGUGUUUCUUACAGACAAUGAAGUGUGUAAAAGAACUAUUUUUUUUAAUAUUGCUACUUAAUCCUCGGUUUGGUUUAUCUGCAGUCACUUCUUUUACAUGGGUUACACUAGAGGUAUAAUUUCAAAAGUAGUUAACUUCAUUAAUCAUUCAAAGGACCUCAUCAGUAUUUACAAAAAUCAUGUAUUUAGAGUUCUUUAAAACCUAGAGAUCUUGGUUUGUUUACAGUAAAAAAAAAGUCUGCUGACACUGUUCAUAACAGCAAGUGAUCAAUGCAUUCCCUACAUUUGGUGCUGUGUCUUGCCAGCAGGUCUGAGAAACAAACAAACAUGUGACCUUAUCAGAAGUUAGAAUGUACAUAUUUAGUCCAUGCAGUUUAUGUGUGUUAUUUUGUUAAUCAUUAGGAAGUGAAUUACUUAAUCUGUGGAAACAUUAUAACAAUUUUGAUGUGGAAAUUCCCAUGUAAAUUCACAUGUAGAUAAAAAGGGGAAAGAAGAAACAGUUAUGCAAAAAAAUAAGAAUGAAAACUUGGGCUUCUAAAUAUAAUUUUAAGAUUUUCAUGACUAAAAAAACACUUUGAUUAGUAGCAAUACUUAUCAAAUAUUUACUGGAAAGUAGGAGCCACAAACAUUACCAAGUAUUGAAUCAUGUCUCAGGUGACAAUGAACCUUGGGUACUGUAAAUGACUGGGAAUAUCACACUUGUCAUAGUUACUCACUCUAUAAAUAUAAAUAAGGCUGUGGGUGAUAACAAAGUAUUUUGUUGUGAUGACUCGGUCCCAUCAGAUGAGUAAAUGCCGCAAUAAGGAUGAGGCAACUGUGCCUCCCUGGAUGGUGAUCAUCUUAAGGCAAUUCACUACUCAAGUCUAUAAAGUGUGAAUUACUGUACAUGGCAGUGUAAUGAAUGCAAAGCUCCUUAAUGAUAAUGUAAUUAUUUAUGUUACUUGGUCACAAAUCUGAGAUGUUUGGUUUUCAGUUUUGUUAUUUGUCCCAGAAUUCUGUAAUUUUAAGCAGUUACUUUAAACAGACUCAACUCAAUAUACAAGGUGUUUAUAUUUAUGUAAUAGAUGAAUAAAAUCUUAAAAUAAGGAAGGCACCAAAAUAUAAUGUAAAUGCUGUGUUAAAGAUCAUUUAAUCAGUUGUGUAAUUCAGUAUACACAAUAUUGAAGAAAAUUUUUAGAUGUAUACAGAGCAUCUUGGGAAUAGAAAAUUACUGCACUGUUAGCAAAAUAUUCUAAAAUACAAAAUCUAAUUCCUCUAAAUAUGACAAAUGGGUUUUCCAUUUGCAUCUCCACAAAAUAUUGUCAUGUUGGGUAAAUACCUUGAUGAAUAUUUAGCAAAGAGAAAAUAUACAAGAAAUAUUUUCCAGUACUGUAAAUAGUCAAUAAGAAAUCUAAAGUGUGAACAUAUAAAAAUAAAUGAACUAGGUAGGUAUUGCCCGAGGAGGAGCAACGUCCCAUCCAUGCGAGUCAUGCAGUACGGCAUGCACAACCUUUACACUCAAGGACCAGGCCUACGUUUUGUUACUGGUCAAAAUCUGGAUACUAUAGAAAAACUUACGUAGUGGUUAUACAGGUGAGAGGCUCAACACUAUCUCAUGUACCUGGAUCAUAAAAACACUAGAUUGCCUUGUUACUGGUCAAAACUGAUCAACUGUGCUGGACUACUGCUGGAAUGACAGUGAGGCUACUCUGGCGGGCUGCCAGUCAGUCACCUUUGGUUGGCAUCAAAAAUCAUUUGUCACACAAAAACAAACACUAUGCUCGACCACCAAUAAGGGACACAGCACACUCAGCAUGCAGGGGACAUGCGGGAGCAGACACUCAGGCAGAGGAGACGUGCAUCAGCUCGUUCAGUGGCCAGGAAGCGGCGCCAUAAAAAAUUGUACAGAACUACUGCACCAUUUUCCCAAUCCACAACCUUCAUCCAAUUCCCUCCAGGACCAGAACAAAGACAAGUGACAUUCAGCUGUGACUCGAGGCACUGAGUGCUUGCUUUGCAUCUUGAGUGAGCCAAGAAUGAGAUAAGGGUGUGGACCUGGGUGGCUGGACAUGUGGAUGGCUUACCUUCAACCUUGUUGUGGGGUAUUGGGGCCAGCUGGGGCGAGGGCGCCUGGGCGUACUGGCCGUACACGGGCGCAGGAUACACAGCUGUAAGAGGGCGGGGUGGACACUGUCAGCCACACACACGCACACACACACGCGCACCCACACCCACACACACAUACAGACGCACAUACCAACACACAUGCCAUCACUACACCACCAACUACUGUGCCAACACUACUCUACCCUUGGCUACAAAUAAUCCUUUUAGUAACAUUACACCAACUGUUUAGCACUACCUUACACCCUACAUCAUCCACUGGAUAACAGCUUACGGGAAAUUACGACAGGAAUGGUGUUCAUUUUCAAUAAUUUUUUAAUAAAGAAUGAUCUUAAGACUGAAAGCUGAACUUUCAGAAUGUCCUUUCCAGGUUCACAGUUUUAUUUAUUCUGUGAUUUCUAUUUUGCAGUUGAUUAGUUUGGGUACUAAGUCAGAUUUUCUGGAUGUACAAUUGAACUUCAGGGGACUAGUGAGGAUGAGAUCUUGAGGUUUUGGCCAGCCUUGUUUGUGACAUGUCUCACUGAAUGAAUUUCAAAAAGAUUUUAAAGGUAAAUGCUGCAAAUUUGACCUGAACAAAUAUUUCCCCUGCUUUCACUCACCAAUGGCAUGAAUGUGCUACAUUUGACUUCAUGCCACCACAAUACUAAAAUUAACAAAAUAUCUGUACAAGUAUUCCCUGUGCUUUACUCUUCCCAUUUUAUGCAAUCAUCAGUAAACAGCUUCAGAUAUACAGUUUUCUCCAGUCUUUCUACUAUCCAUGGCAGACUUCACUAAUAUGCAAGACUGAUAAAGAAAUAAUAACACAACAAUAUCCACUAUGGCACAACAAAUCAUUACUAAAACGAAAAUUCAUCAUGUCUUCUGAUUACAAUAAUGUUCUUUCUUUAUAAUGUACUAAAGAUAUCUUUCCAUUCACCACUGGUCAAUCAUUCACACAGAUUAGUCAAGCCACCCAUCAUAACAAACCUACACAGUACAGGCCAAGCAGUCUGGUACUGGGUGACCUCACUGCUGUCUUCCCCAACAGGAAAUGAUAAACACUGAAUUAUACAUUAUUCAAAUGUAUAUAAAUGUCAAUCUAUGAAUGACAAAAUGGUAACUCCACUCACUCCAGUUCAGCUAGUUUCACCAUUGCUGCUGCAGACACCUGUCACUUGUCACUUGCAUGACCAAACACUCCUUCCUUCCUUUGUUAUUCAGCAGUCCAAGAAAACCUAAACCUGUAUAUCUGACACCUGGUAAGCAGAAAAGCUGCAAGUAUUUUCUGUGUUAAAUUCCUCAGGUUCUGAAUUUGAAUGCAAUAUCAUGUUGAUUCAAAGAUGAUUUGCUGGUCACCUUGGCAGUCAUGCUUGUGAAUGAGUGUCUCCAGAAUUAUCUGUAGGUCUUUUAAUGAUUAUUUAAGUGUUUUGAAUGAUAACCUCUUCUUUGAGUAAUGCUACACAAUGUGACAUUUCAUCCCUUGCUGAACAGAUGUGAGUGAUGCAUCAGGUAUGGGAGUGCCAGAGAAGAAAAUGGAGGCAAUGGAGAUGAAGUGUCUGAAGAACAUGUAAAAUGUGAAGGAGCUCUGAUGUAGGAGAGCCAUUUCCACAGUGAAGGGAUCGUUAAAAUGACUUCAGAAUGUCAAGAGGAUGGAAAAGAAGUGACUGGAGAACAGUUAUGAAGGUGUAAAUGAUGUUGGUUCUAAGCCUACAACAGGAUUCUCUUGCUUCUGAGGUGAUCAGAUGGGACCAGAUGUGGGAAAGAGGACAGGUCUGUUAUGAUGAAGUCUGCUGUCAGGCUGCCAUUCCAAGAGAACUGGCUCUGUUGCACAACUGAUCUGUGUGCAGUGUGGGCAAUAAGGGUUGGUCCUCUCCCACUAAAGACCUUGAGAUUAAGAUGUAAAAAAAAAUAAUAAUAAUAAUAGUAAAAUAAAUAAAUAAAUAAAUAAAUAAAAUAGAAAAUAAAUAAAUAAAUAAAACAUUUGUUGCAAUAGUUAUGUGUAUGGCUGUGUUUGUAGGUGUGUCCUAGUAUAUCUAAUGGGUGAAAACUUUUGGUUUGGGUCCUAAGUUAUAUUUAAAAUCCUAUCCUGUGGAUUCUGCUGCACCUGUUUUCCUCAUUAUCAACACAACUAUGUAAAAGCAAGUGGCAAAGGCACCACGUCAGAGCACAAUUAAACUUCUGCAUUUGCAUUUGUACAGUGUCUCAUUAAAACUGUACUUCUCAUAUUUACAGAUUUCAAGUUAAACUUCCAUAGUCAAGAUUUUGCUGUGACUACUUUCUAAUAUUCUCGUAAGAUCAAUAUUUACUAUUUGCACCUGACAGCAUUAGCAUAGUGAUGAUGAUGGUGUAGAAAACAUAUUCUUGUGGCACACAAAACAUCCAAGGCUUCUGACACACAACAAGGUCACUACAAGGAGCAUACUGAUGUUACUUCACUCCUCAGGAAAACCACCACACACUCUCAGCUGUCCUGAAGUCAGCCUGCCUGCCCAGGGUCCAAAACUGAUCUUAUCUCUUAUACCUCCCUUUCUUGGUUGUCAGUCUGGUGCCCAGACAGGCACACAAUUAUUAGGGCAGAGCAAAUGGAUGAAUGGAGUCACCAAAGCUUAUAUGGUUGGCAACCAGAAAAAAUAUCUAUCCUUAUGUUUGUUAAGUAAAAAUCUACCUGGA